RNAcentral lists this long non-coding RNA (1318 nucleotides) under Mytilus galloprovincialis (Mediterranean mussel). Lineage: Eukaryota; Metazoa; Mollusca; Bivalvia; Mytilida; Mytilidae. The record is from RNAcentral.
CUGACUUUCAAAACAAACUUCUAAUAUGUUUAACCCCGCCUCAUUCUGUAUGUAUGUGUCUGUCCAAAGUCAGGAGCCUGUAAUUCAGUGGUUGUUGUUUGUUUAUAUGUUUCAUAUUUGUUCUUUCGUUCAUUUUUUUACAUAAAUUAGGCCGUUAGUUUUCUCGUUUGAAUUGUUUUACCUCGUCAUUUCGGGGCUUUUUAUAGCCGACUAUGGCGGUAUGGGCUUUGAUCAUUGUUGAAGGCCGUACGGUAACCUAUAGUUGUUAAUUUUUGUGUCAUUUUGGUCUCUUGUGGAGAGUUGUCUCAUUGGCAAUCAUUCCUCAUCUUCUUUUUUAUAUUGUCCAUCUUUUUUUUUCCUUUUUAAGUUAGUGGUCAUGAAUCAUAGAAGCACUGAACAGGUUUAAAAUUGUGUAUUUAAAAUUUUUACCUUUAUAACAUGAGAUUUGUAGGCAAAGGAGAAGAUUUGUGGGAUUGUUAAACCCAUUUUACACCACCACAUUUUGUGUCUGUACCAUGUCAGACUAUCAUGAUUAUUUGUAGUUUUGUUUUUGUUCAUGUAUAUAUUUGUUUAUGAGUCAGGUAUUUGUGGUUGGUAUAGUUUGUUAUACUGUCAAAUAUUUUUAGUAGUUCCUGCUAUCUGUAUUGUAGUUUAUAAAAUAGAUGUUUUUUGUAUCACUCUAUAUUAGUUUGAACAUUCAACUACAUUAUAAUGUCCAUGAAAAGUUUUCUCAAUCCACCAAAAAUACGUAAACACGAAAACCUAAAGGAAUCCCCAGUAUAUGCCAUAUAUAUAUAUAUCGUUCAGUGACCAGUAUUACAAGUUAUACAGGGGUCACCUAGCUUAUAUUUGAUUAAAAAAUAAGAUGCAAAGAAUUAAUUAACAGCUGCACCAUGAGUGCAUGAUACCCCCUUCGUCUUGUGUGUGAAGUUUUAUUCAAUAAUCAUAGAUAGCUCCUGAGAUAAGGUGCAUCAUGUGAAAACCCCCCUUUUUCACAAAAAACUCUAUAACUCUAAAAUAAAAUUUUGAAUCAUCACCAAAAAGUAUACAGAUCUUGAGAUUAAUACAAAUAAGAAGUGUGUAAAGUUUUAAGCAAUAAUCGUAAAUCAUUUUUGAGAUACUGCACAACAUGUGAAACCCCCCCUGUUUUAGUUAUAAAAAUCGUAACUCAAGAAGUUUAAAUCCCAUUUUCACCAAAAAGUAUACUGAUUGUUUGACCAUCAUAAGAAACAACUAUCUUAAGUUUCAUGAAACUUGGAUCUAAAGCAGUUCUCAAGUUAUGGUGCGACAUGUGGACGCCAGACAAACAGUCAGACGG